Molecule: ribosomal RNA, 433 nt
Filed under: uncultured bacterium
Lineage: Bacteria
Description: partial 16S ribosomal RNA
Rfam family: Bacterial small subunit ribosomal RNA
Source: RNAcentral
AACGAACGCUGGCGGCAUGCCUAACACAUGCAAGUCGAACGAGAUCUUCGGGUCUAGUGGCGCACGGGUGCGUAACGCGUGGGAAUCUGCCCUCAGGUUCGGAAUAACCCUUGGAAACGAUGGCUAAUACCGGAUGAUGACGUUAAGUCCAAAGAUUUAUCGCCUGAGGAUGAGCCCGCGUAGGGUUAGCUGGUGGGUGUGGUAAAGGCGCACCAAGGCGACGUUCCUUAGCUGGUCUGAGAGGAUGAUCAGCCACACUGGGACGGAGACACGGCCCAGACUCCUACGGGAGGCAGCAGUGGGGAAUAUUGGACAAUGGGCGAAAGCCUGAUCCAGCAAUGCCGCGUGAGUGAUGAAGGCCUUAGGGUUGUAAAGCUCUUUUACCCGGGAUGAUAAUGACAGUACCGGGAGAAUAAGCACCGGCUAACUCCGU